Long non-coding RNA from Bos taurus (domestic cattle), 1329 nucleotides. Lineage: Eukaryota; Metazoa; Chordata; Mammalia; Artiodactyla; Bovidae. The record is from Ensembl.
GCAGAGGCCAGCUGGGGCCCCUUGCAGGAGCCCCCGCAGGGCCCGCCUGACCCAGCCCGAAGCAGCUGCCCCUCCAGGCCCCACCACAUCUGCAUCCUGGGAAAAUUCCCCCUGCACCUGCCUGUGGGCCCUCCCAGCACCCAACCAGCCUCACCUGAGCCCACACUCUCCUCUCAGAGUGGCUCCUUUUACCCCUCCCCAGGGGGAGGGCCCUCCCACUGAAAUAACUCAUUUGUCUGAAAAACAAGAGACACUAGUAAAUUCUCUAGCCCAGGGUCCAGUUCCGAGUUCCAUCCUCACUUCCAGGCAGCCUGAAGCCAGCCCUUCCUGCUCCUUCCCCCGCCUCGAACAGCUUCUCUUUUCACCAGGACGACGGGAGGACCCCUGAGGGACCCCUGCCUCCAUCCCUCGGGGCCGCUGCAACGGAGCCCCUGGCAAUAUCGGUCUAGGUGUGAGUGUCCCAGUGCAGAGCCCCCUGGGGCCUCCCUCCGGCCAGCCCUCCGCUCCUGGCCGUCAACCCCCAUGCAGCAGAGCCCCUCUUCGAAUCUGUCUCUCCCCUGAUCAGGGAGCUUCUUGUUAAAGAAGAUAAGUGAAGUUACGUUACACACGCGUGGGUCUGCCCCUGGGCUGCUGGUACCUGCGUGGCGUGGUGCUGUGAUGACCACAGCUUCGGGGGAUGUCCUUGAGCAGUGGACAUCAGCUCACUGAGGCGCUCAGCUGACUUCUCUGGCUUUUACGCAUGCCUUCCGCACAGAGUCCAAACACAGCCUAAAACCUGGAAGCCAGUCACACUGUAGCUUAAGGUCUUGUUCCAAGUGCCUGUGAAACCUGCACCCCAGGAAGCCCCAGACUGUGUCUGGAAUGAAAGGAAGCAGGUCUGGGGCUGAGGAACUGGGGGCCCUGGGUCCCCAGGAGGGAUGGCUCAGCAAAGCAGCAACUGUACACUAUGGCUGUGUGUCGGGCACGGCAGGUCCCGAAAACCUAUGUCUGUCUUUGAUUCAAACCACCGCUCCCAGUGUCCCCAAGUUAAAAGCCUAUUCUGCCUUCUGACCAGUGCUCAUGGAAGCACAUGCAGUGUGAACAGGAAGGAAAACCCAUCCCUGAACUGAGAGGAUCUAUCUACCUGGAACUUGGAGGACAAUUAUGUGCUCAUCACUAAAUUGAAGUCAAACUGCAGACUCUAACAUUCCUGGAUGAAAGAGCCAAAGGUGGACUUGAAAUGCCCAUUGAAGGACGAGUGGAGGGACUCCCCUGGUGGUCCAGUGGUUAAGAAACCUCCUACUAUGCAGGGGACAAGGGGUUGACCCCUGGUUCGGGAAGAUCCCACAC